UAGAAUAUGCGCUGCCGUUUAG
This 22-nucleotide microRNA is filed under the name Monodelphis domestica (gray short-tailed opossum). RNAcentral describes it as "mdo-miR-7324-3p". Lineage: Eukaryota; Metazoa; Chordata; Mammalia; Didelphimorphia; Didelphidae. The record is from miRBase by way of RNAcentral.